This 6183-nucleotide long non-coding RNA is filed under the name Sus scrofa (pig). RNAcentral's name for it is "lncRNA (ENSSSCG00025032789.1)". The record is from RNAcentral. Lineage: Eukaryota; Metazoa; Chordata; Mammalia; Artiodactyla; Suidae.
GCUUUCCUACAAUUUUUAUUUUAAAAGUUAAAUGUAGUAAACAAAUAAAAAGCUUUUUACAAUGAACAAAUGCUCCAGUCCUUACUGUUUUAAUGGUUUUUGACCUUAAUUUGAUGUGCAAAUUUUAUUAGUACAAGAAUUUUUUUUUUUUUUUUUUGCCUUUUGCCUUUUGCCAUUUCUGGGGCCAUUCCCGGCAUAUGGAGGUGCAGCCCUAAAAUGCAAAAAAAAAAAAAAAAAAAAAAAGGAAUUUCUAAUUAAAACUAAAUUCUAUAUUGGGCCCAGAACUUUCAGUGGUGGCACAGUCAUUCUUAUCUUCCUCACAUACAACUUCAAGCAAGUCUCUUAAACUCACUAGCUCUCACUUCCCCCAUCUAUAAAAUGAAGGUUUGAAUAACAUCCUAGCAAGUAUUUUUAAAUGCUACCUUAAAACUAUAUUAAUGAGGUACAUUUUAAAAUGCUUGUAGGAAUUUUUAGAUAAAAGAUAGCUUUCAAAGAAAUAGAUGCAAUUCACUGAAUCUCAUCUCUUUGGCUUCUGCAUUGACUUGAAUGUUGCACAAUUCAGGUAUAUAUUGAACUGAGUCUACCCAGAAGAGUAUGUGGGGUAUGUGGGUAUUCAUAAAUUACCCAUGUUCAAAAAUAACAAUUGGUUCAUUUGGCUUUAAUGGUUCAAAAGUCUUUUAGUAGCUAAAAAGCCUUUAGGUGUAGAAUGUGUGAAAACUAGCCAAAUCUUUGUUACACAUCAACUUACAGGAACUGAUUCUGGGCCAUCUUAAGCAAAAGGGAAUUUAUUAGAAGAUUAUUUUAAUUGUGCCUCAAGAUUGCAAGUUCCCAGAGUGACCAUGUAAUUGGUCAAGCUUACUGGACCAUGUGUCUGUAUCCAAGCUGUAUCAGAGGGCAGGUGCAAGCAGCUUCCUUAGUGGGAGGAAGCAGAAGGAAACAAGCUCUUAGAAUUACCUUCCCCCUUCUUCCUACCAAUGUAUUACAUAUUCCCAUCAAAUGGAAGAUGGGAUGCCAGUAGGAUGGUAGGGUUUGACAGACCUCAAAAGGAUGAAUACACACCAUAACUUUAUCUUGGGAAUUACUUAAAAAUAUCUCUGAUCCUAAAUUACCUUAUAGCUUUAAAGUAAAUUUCAGGUAUGAUCAUCAAAAUCCAGCUAUUUGAAUUUUAUACUUUCAUAAAUGCCAAAUGAAUAUAAAGAUUCCACUGUUGUUUACUUAACAAAGGAAACAUCGAGAAUAUAACGACAAAAGUCAACGCUGAGAACAUUCAUUCAUUCAACAUUUAUCAAGCACUUUCUAUAUGCUUGGCAGUGUGCUUGCCCACUUCUGCAUUCUUUGGCUCGUGGUCCCUUCCUUAUAUCACCCCAUCCUCCGACUUCAGUCAUCACAUCUCCUACAACCUGCUCCCGCCUCUCAAAGGAUCACUGAGAUUAUAUUGGGCCCACCCGGAUCAUCUAAGUUUUGCUUGCUCCUCAUCAGGAGACCCUUAACUUAAUCAGAGCUACCAAGUCCCUCCCACCAUGUAAGAUAACAUGUUCACAGGUUCUGGGCAUCAGGACAUGAAUUAUGGGGGGGGAGGGGGAAAGGACAUUAUUUAGCCCACUGAAAGGGGAAUUCUAUUUUUUCCCCCUAGGGCCUCACCUGCAGCAUAUGGAAGUUCUCAGCUAGGGGUGGAAUCCGAGCUAGAGCUGCUGACCUACACCACAGCAAUAUCACAUCCAAGCUGCAUCUGCCACCUACACCACAGCUCACGAUAACACUGGAUCCUGAACCCACUGAGCAAGGCAAGGGAUCGAACCCGCAUCCUCAUGGAUACGAGGUGGCUUCCUAACCUGUUGAGCCAUGACAGAAACUCCAAUUCUCCUAUUCUUACCCUUUCAUUCCUAGACUUGCAUUUUCUAUCUAUACUGGACCUGGCACUAUAUAAUGAGUGAUUUAGAGUGUAGACUGAGUUGCGGUGGAGAGCAGCCCAUCUUCACAGGUUACUCUCUCCAAGCUUUUCCUUCAGUUUCAAAAGGUUUUUCCACCACUCCAUCCAGCCAGCAUUUUCUAGGUUCUGUUAUUAUGUGAUAAGACCAGUGAAUUCCAUGAGCAUGUGCCCACUGAAACACCUCCUUUGCUGUAAAGUGGGUCCCUAGGUCAAAGGCAGUGUUACACAGGAUACAUGUUGAUAGAUCAAACCCUUGUGAACCCUUGGUUAAAUAACUUGGCCAACAUCCUGUGGGCAGGAAAGGCAAACUCGUAUCUGGAGAUGUGAAGAUUCUAGUGAAGGUGAAUCUCUGUCCUUUCAGGAAUGGAGUCCAGUGUAGUCAACUUGCUACUAAGUAGCUGCUUGGUUUCCUUAAGGGAUGAUGUGUAUCAAGGGCUCAGUGUUGAAUGUGAGGGAGUGGCCACUUGGUCAGCGGAAGCCACGAUGUUGGCCUCUUGCAACCUGCAUCCCUGCAAAAUGACUGCGAAUGUGAGCCCAUUAUGCCAGCACUGGGAUAGCUGAUGACUGCAGCUGCGGAAGAUAACUGGCCGAGUCUUUUUGUUUAUUUGGCUGAGUGCCUCUUCCGUGGUGGACUGCCCCUGGCAGGCAUUGUUAUAUGACCCAAAGUUCUUUACUCACGUGCCCAAUCCUACAGAUUUCUCCACCGCUCCUUCUCCAGGCUUCCUUGGGCCUGAUCAUCUCAUCUUUCUCAUUCCAGGUCCAAGAAGAUACAGUCUUACUUCAGGUCACUUCUUCCACAAAAAGUGGAUGACUAGGAAUACUGCCCUCAAUUCUGCCUUUUUUGGAGAAUUCCUGUCUCUUAGCACCACUCCUGAGUAGGGCUGUAGGGCAGCAAGUUUUGCACUUCUUUUGUUUUGAACCCAUAUUCCAAGAAAACCCAUCAGUGAACUUACCUGGGGCUUUUUUGUCCUCCAUCAGUUAGAUGUAAGAGCCUCUCAUGCAGCCAUAAUUGUGAGUUGAAGGAGCGACUUUGGUGCAAGAGUUCUAAGUAUGACAUGGGAGUCUGGGUCACCUGCCUGUGCACCUACUCACUUCCUCUGGCCCUACCUGCCACUGAUCCCAGAUGUACCACUUCCACCUUAUGAUGGAGUAACUUGGUGUCUGACAAAACCUAGCUCACGACGGGCUACAGGGUCACCUGAUGUCCCAUGAGAUGCUCGGUUCUUACCAAGGCAUACAAGAAACCAUUUCUGAAUGACAUGUGGUUCUCUACCUUGUGAUUCUCCAACUGGAGCUUGCCAUAAACCCCCAUGGCUGCUUUGUUUAUCACAGAUACUCUUGACUCAUAGAACCUCCAGGACUAAACGGCCCAGGCAAUAGGCUAGUUAUACUGCAGCCUGUACCUGCUAGAGCCUUUAUGUGCUCUGGGUCCAACUGAAAACUGUCACCCAAUACACGAGUCAGAGCAGAAUUCCCAAGUUCUAAUUCCCACAAAGAAACCUGGAGCUUGAUGUGCUUCCUUGGUGGCAGAAUAAUAUUGAUAAGGAGUUCCCAUCGGGAGGGCAGUGGAAACAAAUCCGACUAGGAACCAUGAGGUUGCAGGUUCAAUUCCUGGCCUUGCUCAGUGGGUUAAGGAUCUGGCGUUCCCAUGAGCUGUGGUGUAGGUGGCAGCCGUGGCUCGGAUCUGACGUUGCUGUGCCUGUUGUGUAGGCAGACAGCUGUAGAUCCAGUUCAGCCUCUAGCCUGGGAACUACCAUAUGCUGAAAGUGCAGCCCUAAAAAGCAAAAAAAAAAAGAAAGAAAAAAAAGGAAAAAAAAACAUAAAUGAAAUAAAAAAAGAAACUAAGACAGUCUAUCCUUCUAUAUCUAACUACCUACCUAAUAUGUGGGUUAUACCAGAAUUCAGUUUUAGCUUCGUAUUUAAUAUUUUCUACUUUGACCUUUAAAAAUCCAAAGAGAUAGAUACCCACUCUCUCACUGUUUCUUCUGGGCUCUCUAAAAUUGUGUGGUCAAGAAAUCUUGCAGGUUGGGAGUUCUGUGGUUCAGUGGGUUAAGGAUCAAGUGUUGUCACUACAGCAGCUUGGGUUGCUGCUGUGGGAUGAGUUCGAUCUCUGGCCUGGGAACUUCAACAUGCCAUGGAUGCAGCCAAAAAAGAAACAGUCUUUCAGAUUAUUACCAUCUAAUCAGAAAGACACCACUGUAUUUAUUGCUACUAUUUUAACAUUCACUUUAUAAUAUAGGUAAGCCUUUUUCAAAAUAAUUAUAGCAAGAAAUUCUUAGGUGCUUUAGAUAUUGAAACAUUGUGUUAACUGAAGUACAGUAUGUGUAUUUAUAAUUGCGAAAGUGAAUUUCUCCAAUAAAGACUGUGAAUGCUACUGUAUUUAUGUACAAUUAUUAUAAACUUCUAAAUAGUUUAAAAAAAUAGAAAACAUUUAUGAAACAAUGGCCCACAAAGCAUUGGACAUAGGCCAUGAAGGGCAAUGGUCCAUGAAAGAUGGAAAACAAACACAGUGAGUAAUACGAUUACUCCAACUUACAGCACAGAGCUUUCCUGGCUGUGGCCUAGCAGAUUCCAAGGUGAGGAGAUGCCACUGGGAGUCCUGGGAGCCCAAGUAACGAGCUCACAGAGAGAUGCCAGAGAGGAGAGAGCCACACACAGAGGGAACUCCAGAGAUGCUAACCGUUCCCUUACUCAGGUGAGUAAUGAUCAGCACUGGUGACAGGAAACUAGCCUAAGGCCAAAAAAUGAACCACCUGAAAGGAGUACAGGAAAUCACACUCAGCGCUCACACAAUGAGUGAAUAAUUCCUGUCCCUACCAGCCAGAGUAGAAAAUCACAGAACGCAAAAGGCAUGGGUUAGAGAAUUCAAAAGGAAUGAUUAGGGAGUUCCCUUCAUGGCUCAGCAGUUAAUGAACCUGACUAGGAUCCAUGAGGAUGUGGGUUCGAUCCCUGGCCUCGCUCAGUAGAUUAUGGAUCCGGAGCUGCUGUGAGCUGUGGUGUAGUCCACAGAGGCGGCUCAGAUCUGGUGUGGCUGUGGUAUAGGUCGGCAGCUGUGGCUCCAAUUAGACCCCCAGCCUGGGAACUUCCAUAUGCUGCAGGUACAGCCCUAAAAAGGCCCCCCCCCAAAAAAGGCAUAAUUGAAAGGUCUUGCUUUAAUAAUGGAAAACAAUCCUAGACUAAACGCUGCUCUAACAAAUGUUUAAAAGCAAGAUUCCAGAGUUCCCGCUGUGGCACAGUAGGAUAAGGGUACAUCAUUGCCUCUACUGUGCUCAGGUCACUGCUGAGGCUCAGGUUUGAUCCCUGGCCCAGGGAAUUCCAUAUGCCACAGGUGCGGCCAAAAAAAAAAGCAAGACAAAAGGAUCAAACUGUUCCCAAGCAACUUAACUAUAUUCCAGAACAAAGCUCAAAAGUGUUAUUAGAGACAAGAAAACAGUUUUAACCACUUAAAAUAAUAGUUUAGUUUUAUGGCUUGCUCAAUGCAAAGUGGCUGCACUCUGAGGCUAUUCAGAACAACUCAUAUUGUGUUUUUUCUUGCACGUGUGCCCAGGGUGGGAAAAACUGAAUUUAAAAUGCUUUUUCUACUUAUUUGUUUCUCAUUAAGUUUCCAUAUUUCUAUAUUUUAAAUGUAUACUUGUAUUCAUGUGUUAAUACAUGCAUAUCAUUGAUUAAAACUAUACAGCUAAUGAAGACAACACCUCACAGUUGAGGGAGUUUUAUAAAAUCAUUAUUCUUGUUUCUUAAUCACAACUUCUCCAUCAAGUGAGUACAUUAAUCAGCAACUAAUACCGAUGCUUGCAAAGGAAACCUUUAGAGCUUUUAGCAAGUUCUGGAUUGAGGCAACAAGGAUUCUGAGCCUCCUGACCCCUUCCGUCUUUUUUCCUUAGCUCCAUUAGAUGGCUCUUCUGGAUCAGGCCAAUCCACCAAGGGCUCGGAGAAAACUAUAACAUACAUGGAUAUACUCAGUGGAGAAAAAGCCUCCAGGGCCCUCAUUUUCUUUCAUUCACACACAACUCCUGCUCACGCUAAAACUCCCAGCUGGAGUUCCCGUCGUGGCACAGUGGUUAACGAAUCUGACUAGGAACCAUGAAGUUGCAGGUUCGGUCCCUGCCCUUGCUCAGUGGGUUAAUGAUCCAGCGUUGCCGUGAGCUGUGGUGUAGGUUGCAGACGCGGCUCGGAUCCCACGUUGCUGUGGCUCUGGCGUAGGCCGGAGACUACAGCUCCAAUUGGACCCCUAGCCUGGGAACCUCCAUAUG